RNAcentral lists this transfer RNA (74 nucleotides) under Eubacterium sp. RNAcentral's name for it is "tRNA-Asn". It matches the Rfam family "tRNA". From Rfam's summary of the family: Transfer RNA (tRNA) molecules are approximately 80 nucleotides in length. Their secondary structure includes four short double-helical elements and three loops (D, anti-codon, and T loops). Further hydrogen bonds mediate the characteristic L-shaped molecular structure. tRNAs have two regions of fundamental functional importance: the anti-codon, which is responsible for specific mRNA codon recognition, and the 3' end, to which the tRNAs corresponding amino acid is attached (by aminoacyl-tRNA synthetases). tRNAs cope with the degeneracy of the genetic code in two manners: having more than one tRNA (with a specific anti-codon) for a particular amino acid; and 'wobble' base-pairing, i.e. permitting non-standard base-pairing at the 3rd anti-codon position. Lineage: Bacteria; Bacillati; Bacillota; Clostridia; Eubacteriales; Eubacteriaceae. RNAcentral also lists the same sequence under 1 other name. The record is from RNAcentral.
GCCUCAAUAGCCCAGUCGGUUAGAGCAUCUGACUGUUAAUCAGAGGGUCCUUGGUUCGAGUCCAAGUUGGGGCG